CCCUGUAUUCGGGAGCAGUUAUGGGUUGCCUGUGCCCUGGCCAUAGAUACUGAAGUGAGGGGUACUGAAAGCCUUACCCUGUAUUCGGAAAGUCCGUUCCUGUCCAUGUCAACCCCCGGUGCUGUGGGAACACA
Molecule: small nucleolar RNA, 134 nt
Organism: Microtus ochrogaster (prairie vole)
Lineage: Eukaryota; Metazoa; Chordata; Mammalia; Rodentia; Cricetidae
Gene: SNORA71
Rfam family: Small nucleolar RNA SNORA71
About the family: The members of this family belong to the H/ACA class of snoRNAs which bind a number of proteins (including dyskerin, Gar1p and Nop10p) to form snoRNP complexes.
Source: Ensembl